CCACGUUGACCUGUGGAUCUGAGUGUCGCGACUGUUGACUUCUGACUUCUCCUUAUGGAAGAAAACAAAACCCUCAUUUGUUUAAGCUAUUGUUGGUGACCCAGGAAACACCCGGUGUGACCCCUCCCCAGGCUGUAAGGUCAGAAGGAAUAUCAGAAGCCACUUCUUCACCCUGACAGGAAAGGAGUCCUUAGGCACACACUC
This 204-nucleotide long non-coding RNA is filed under the name Ictidomys tridecemlineatus (thirteen-lined ground squirrel). RNAcentral describes it as "lncRNA (ENSSTOG00000034251.1)". The record is from RNAcentral. Lineage: Eukaryota; Metazoa; Chordata; Mammalia; Rodentia; Sciuridae.